ACGUGGUAGUGAGGAAAGUAUCAAGAUAACAGACUGGAUUCCUGGAGCAGAUGAGUAGACUUUCAUGGCCAGACAACAGAACAAGCUGACCAAGUCCAUGUAGCCAAUUCUGCAGUCAAAACCAAAGUGCUGGGACUCAGAAGGUUUCGCUUGUUAAUUUAACUGCGAGUAAAUAAAGAAAUGCUGUUGGCCCUAUUAAUCACAGUGUAGGCCUGAGGGAUAACGGCAGAUGACUCAUGGACCAGACACCAGUGACAGCGCGUUACUCUGUGUCUGUUGGCCAAGUGUUACUGACUGAAAUCACUGGCUCUACCUCAGUUCACUGCAGCAAAAUGUCUGGUCUUGUUUGGAUUUGCUUGAGAAAUGACCUUCAUUGUUCUUAUCCACAUUCUCACCUUAUACAAUGUCUGUGUGUGUGCCAGAGUCACCUCCCCUGCAAGGGUGGACAGAUUUAGGGAUGCUCAAAAUGGCACAGCUCAUGCAGGAAAAUUGUAUAUGACUCUAAGGAAUACUGCAAUAAAAAACACAGCACAAGUCCAGAGUGAAUACAUCCAUGAGACACAGUGAUGACGGACUGCUUUUAGAUUGGCACUAAGCAGCUGCUCUGUGACAAGAUGGUUUGACAGAUGUUUGCUUCAGAUCCCGAGGCCUCAUCACUUCUUACUGAUGUAGAAGGUGUUUGCUUUGCUUUCCUGCUUUUGCUUAACUGGCUAGCAAGUGAAUUCAGAGUGAGCAGGUCGGCUCAGGAACAAGAAGGACCUGAAGAGAUCAAAAUAACAAUUAAAAACUAUGGUCCUGUUCUUAAAGGGGAGCUGCCUGUGGCCGUGCCGAGCACUUCUCAGGAUGAGACCUGCCCAGAUCACCUCACAUUAAAAUUCCACGUCUGAAAGCAGUUUUAGAAAGGAAAUGGCAAAUCAAUUUUUUCUGAAGAGGAUAAACAACUGGCAACAAAUGUAGGCAGGAAAGGGUAGCAGUUCAGAACAUCCUGCAAAAGGCUUCAACAUUGGUUUCUGCUUGCUUUCUGCCUCUUGAAGAAUAAAUGAAAAUGUAUAUAGAGAAAUGAGGUUCCUAGAAAGAAGUUCAAAUUCCAGAUGGAUGAUACCACCCAGGCACCAGCUGUU
This is a long non-coding RNA of Centrocercus urophasianus (Greater sage-grouse), 1121 nucleotides long. RefSeq lists it as uncharacterized. The transcript is spliced from 5 exons. The record is from RefSeq and is a predicted model, not a curated record. Lineage: Eukaryota; Metazoa; Chordata; Aves; Galliformes; Phasianidae.